AAAAGCCGCAAACCGAUUCUUGGGAUUCAAAUGCUACUCUCCAAGCAUGUUCUGGAAAAGCAAAGUUCUAAGCAGUCACGGCUUGCUUCUGUGUAAAAGCAAUGCCCUUCUCAAUGCUUGCCUUCAAUUCUGGCUUUAGAGCUUCAAGAGCCUUCUGCUCGUACUCAGAUAAACUUUGGAGAUCAGACGUUACAAAGGCUUCAAUUCCUUUCCUCCCAAGCUUAACCCUCGAUGCAAAGAAUGGAAGCUCAGUU
This 254-nucleotide unclassified non-coding RNA is filed under the name Hevea brasiliensis (rubber tree). Lineage: Eukaryota; Viridiplantae; Streptophyta; Magnoliopsida; Malpighiales; Euphorbiaceae. The record is from RNAcentral.